Molecule: ribosomal RNA, 425 nt
Filed under: uncultured bacterium
Lineage: Bacteria
Description: partial 16S ribosomal RNA
Rfam family: Bacterial small subunit ribosomal RNA
Source: RNAcentral
GUGGGGAAUAUUGGACAAUGGGCGCAAGCCUGAUCCAGCCAUGCCGCGUGAGUGAUGAAGGCCCUAGGGUUGUAAAGCUCUUUCAGUGGGGACGAUAAUGACGGUACCCACAGAAGAAGCCCCGGCUAACUUCGUGCCAGCAGCCGCGGUAAUACGCAGGGGGCUAGCGUUGUUCGGAUUUACUGGGCGUAAAGCGCACGUAGGCGGAUCGUUAGGUCGGGGGCGAAAUCCUGGAGCUCAACUACAGAACUGCCUUCGAUACUGGCGAUCUUGAGUCCGGAAGAGGUGAGUGGAACUCCUAGUGUAGAGGUGGAAUUCGUAGAUAUUAGGAAGAACACCAGUGGCGAAGGCGGCUCACUGGUCCGGUACUGACGCUGAGGUGCGAAAGCGUGGGGAGCAAACAGGAUUAGAUACCCGUGUAGUCC